This 107-nucleotide non-coding RNA is filed under the name Picochlorum sp. RCC944. Lineage: Eukaryota; Viridiplantae; Chlorophyta; Trebouxiophyceae. The record is from RNAcentral.
AGAGAGAGAGAGAGAGGGAGGGAGAAGAAGAAGCAGAAAGCUACUUGUUUGUUUAUUUUGUUUCUCUCGUCUUCUUUUCGUUGUUCGUUGUUCUCUCAUGUCUUUUU